Long non-coding RNA from Spinacia oleracea (spinach), 679 nucleotides. RefSeq lists it as uncharacterized. The transcript has 3 exons. Lineage: Eukaryota; Viridiplantae; Streptophyta; Magnoliopsida; Caryophyllales; Amaranthaceae. The record is from RefSeq and is a predicted model, not a curated record.
UAAACCCUAAUACUACCCAAGCUAUUAAUAGCCUAUUGUAAGAAGAAGAAAAAAAAAAACUCCCGUGCGCAAUUGUUGACCCUCAAACCCUCCUUCCUCCCUCGAUUGUUUUCUUGCCGUCAUCAUCUCCAAGCGUAUUCCUUCAUCUCCGAAAUUGGACUCGGGGCUCAGGAAGGACGAUCCAUCGGACAGGAAGUAUAAAAACUACGGUUGAGGUACUGCUGGGGACCACGGAAAUGAGUAGUGGUGAGGAUUUCACUAUUACCAAGUUCACCUAAGUUAAUGUUAAGUUGUAACAAGUUUAAAUAAAGAUUCUUGAUUAAGUUUCGUACUUUUAUUAAGGAAUUGAGAAGGAUGAUUAUGUGAAUUUUGGAGUUUAAAUAGCUUAUGAUUGAUAGUUGCCUUGUAAUUCCCAAGAGGGAGUUACGGCGGGUAAUGUCCCGACCGAAUUAGGUUAAUUCCGCUGCUAAUUAUGAUUAAAUAAUUGAAUUAGAGGUCGGGGUGUUACACAUUCUCAAUUGAUUCUUCGAAUUUUUAGUGAUUUCGUGGCUGAACUGGUCUAAGGUUGCGAGAUUCAGUUUUAGUGGUUGAACUGGAGGACUAGGUUUGUUGGUUGUUUGCGGUCGAAAUACAUUUGUAGAAAAUGUACUCGGAUCUUGAAAAAUGAAAAAAUUCGAAC